This 650-nucleotide long non-coding RNA is filed under the name Equus caballus (horse). RNAcentral's name for it is "lncRNA (ENSECAG00000030125.2)". The record is from RNAcentral. Lineage: Eukaryota; Metazoa; Chordata; Mammalia; Perissodactyla; Equidae.
GGAAAAUCCAGACAGAAAUGUUUACUGGCUGGAGCAACUUCAUGAACCAGGGACACUGGAAGGCUGGAUAUGCAAUAGUCACUCAUCAGGAGGUCCUAGAAGCAGAAGCCCUCCCUCCAGGGCUGCAGUGUUGGAAUACUCAUUCAGAGACUGUGAAGCCUCCGCGGGAGUCCAUGUGUGAACUUGCCCUAGGUAGGAAGAGAGGCAGAAAUGAUAUGGAAAGAAAAAAAGUUUAAAAACAGAGAUUUCUUUUGGUUUAAUUGACAACCAAUUCUGAGCAUCUGCUAACCGAGAUCUCAGCACUGAUCCCAAAACAGCAGCAGAUUUCUACUCCAGCCUCAACUGAACAAGUCUGACAAAUCAAGGUUUGUUUCCUAGAAGCAGAACCUGUGCCUGGGCUUCUAGUCUGUUAUUUAUUGGGAGAGUGUGCCCUUUAAGAGAGUAAAGAAAGCAAUAUAGUGAUCUGAAUGUGAAGAGAAAGAGCUGAGGAGACUGUGGAGCCAGAGAAAGACGUUUCUUGGUCUGACCCAAAGAGAGGAGUGCCUUUUGAACAAAAACCACACCCAGGAAUUGUCCUGUUUCUCCAGCUUGGGCCCUUCCCUUGUAGGAAGACAAAGUGACUCAGGCAAGGCAACUCCCUUAAACCCAGU